This 216-nucleotide ribosomal RNA is filed under the name Glomeromycotina sp. Its description in RNAcentral is "partial small subunit ribosomal RNA". The stretch from base 44 to 216 matches the Rfam family "Eukaryotic small subunit ribosomal RNA", at positions 690 to 864 of the family's 1831-position model. Lineage: Eukaryota; Fungi; Glomeromycota. The record is from RNAcentral.
GGGUCAGUAGGUUGGUCGUGCCACCGGUACGUACUGGUCCCACUGAUUCCUCCUUCCUGAAGAACCGUAAUGCCAUUAAUUUGGUGUUGCGGGGAAACAGGACUGUUACUUUGAAAAAAUUAGAGUGUUUAAAGCAAGCUAACGCUUGAAUACAUUAGCAUGGAAUAAUGAAAUAGGACGAUCGAUCCUAUUUUGUUGGUUUCUAGGAUUGACGUA